RNAcentral lists this transfer RNA (123 nucleotides) under Microbotryum lychnidis-dioicae p1A1 Lamole. RNAcentral describes it as "tRNA-Leu for anticodon CAA". It matches the Rfam family "tRNA". Rfam says of the family: Transfer RNA (tRNA) molecules are approximately 80 nucleotides in length. Their secondary structure includes four short double-helical elements and three loops (D, anti-codon, and T loops). The record is from Rfam by way of RNAcentral. Lineage: Eukaryota; Fungi; Basidiomycota; Microbotryomycetes; Microbotryales; Microbotryaceae.
GGGCGGAUGGUCGAGUGGUCUAAGACGCCAGAUUCAAGGAUUACGAGUUUAUUGUAACUGCAUUGCGUCGCAAUGAUAUUCCUGGUCUCGAAAGAGGCGUGGGUUCGAGUCCCACUCCGCUCA